Molecule: ribosomal RNA, 374 nt
Filed under: uncultured bacterium
Lineage: Bacteria
Description: bacterial SSU rRNA
Rfam family: Bacterial small subunit ribosomal RNA
Source: RNAcentral
AGCGAACGCUGGCGGCAGGCUUAAUACAUGCAAGUCGAGCGCCUGUAGCAAUACAGGAGCGGCAGACGGGAGAGUAACACGUGGGAACGUGCCCUUUGGUUCGGAACAACACAGGGAAACUUGUGCUAAUACCGGAUAAGCCCUUACGGGGAAGAUUUAUCGCCAAAGGAUCGGCCCGCGUCUGAUUAGCUAGUUGGUGGGGUAAUGGCCCACCAAGGCGACGAUCAGAGCUGGUCUGAGAGGAUGAUCAGCCUCAUUGGGACUGANACACGGCCCAAAACUCCUACGGGAGGCAGCAGUAGGGAUAUUGGACAAUGGGCGCAAGCCUGAUCCAGCCAUGCCGCGUGAGUGAUGAAGGCCUUAGGGUUGUAAAG